UUUUCAAAUCAAAAUUGCUACAUGAAAUCUGACAAAGGGCAUUCCUUUUGUAAUCCCCAUUCAAAUUAUAUUUUCUUUUUUUUUUUUUUUUAAUUUGAGGCUGUUUUAGGAAAUCCAGAUUAUUUCACCUCCAUAGUCAGGACACUAAAGACCUCUUUGUCUGAUCACAUAAAAACCAAUUGUGAUUCAAUCAUCUUGAGAUCAUCAGCAAUGAGUCAGUUCCCAAAAAUAUCUCACAGGGGCAAGGUGUUUUAUUUUGUUUUGUUGGAGAAAAAAAGGAAGCUCUGAAUAUAGAGUUGGGCUAUCAUUCUCUUCAAAUAUCAUGAUUGCAACUCCUGCCUUCUUUCUAUCAGUUGAGGCCCCGAAGGUCUUACUCCAUCCUUUAAUUAUGACCUUGUGGAUAUCUACCCACCUCAUGUGUGUUUCUUGAAGACAACAUAUGCUGCCACAAGCUCUCAGUUCAAUACCCAGAAGACCCUGGAAUAAGAGAACAAGCUAUUCUGGGAUCUCCCUGACCAUUGGUUAUAGUUAGCAGGACUCCAAACUUGUAAAAGCCCCAGGUGAGUUCUUGGUAACCUCCUCUGGGUUAAGGGAGGUGGGCUGGAGGGGGGAGUUCUAAUCCUUCUCCCCAGGGUCAUUCUUCAGUUACAUUCAAUUUCAUGGCAAUAGUAUCCUAAAGCAUUAAAGGAAUACUAUAGGAUCUUCACCAGGCCUCAGUGCCUAUAGUUCAAGUGUGACUCCCCAUGUUCUGUCAGUGUUUUCUAGCAUAAGCUCUCCAGCUUAUAUUUCUUUUCCAUUUUAUCCUAAAAUAAUCAGUAGUUAUUCACCAGCUGGUUACUCCAGCAUGACAGGGUUGCUGAAGAGGUACUUGUGCUGAGAACUGUUCUCUUCUUCAUUUCUUCAAGAUGCAUUAGGAGAGAUACUUUCAUAUCCCCCUUCAUACACUGCAAAAAAGAGAAACUUAUCUCAUUAAGAAACGGUAUUUUCCCUAAGUAUCCUAAUAAUUCAAU
This 1010-nucleotide long non-coding RNA is filed under the name Monodelphis domestica (gray short-tailed opossum). RNAcentral describes it as "lncRNA (ENSMODG00000045551.1)". The record is from RNAcentral. Lineage: Eukaryota; Metazoa; Chordata; Mammalia; Didelphimorphia; Didelphidae.